UAUUCCCUGCGGCGUACGAAGCCCACUGGGUUACUUCUUGAGCCUAAUCCAAAACCCCGGGUCCAUUAGAGUUCGCGAUGUGCGCAAGUCCGCCCCGAGCGGAAAGCCUGAUUCGGUACUUCUUGGUCCCACCUGAACCAUUUGGUUCAAGGGCGAAAGUGAGUUACGGCGCAGGCGGGGAAUAC
Molecule: non-coding RNA, 185 nt
Filed under: Methylomagnum ishizawai
Lineage: Bacteria; Pseudomonadati; Pseudomonadota; Gammaproteobacteria; Methylococcales; Methylococcaceae
Description: 6S / SsrS RNA
Rfam family: 6S / SsrS RNA
About the family: E. coli 6S RNA was the first non coding RNA to be sequenced, but its function was unknown until recently.
Source: Rfam by way of RNAcentral